UGGGGAAUAUUGCGCAAUGGGCGAAAGCCUGACGCAGCGACGCCGCGUGGAGGAUGAAGGUCUUCGGAUUGUAAACUCCUGUCAGAUGGAAAGAAAGGUCUGCGUUUAAUAGACGUGGAAUAUGACGGUACCAUCAGAGGAAGCACCGGCUAACUUCGUGCCAGCAGCCGCGGUAAUACGAAGGGUGCAAGCGUUAUUCGGAAUCACUGGGCGUAAAGGGUGUGUAGACGGUCCAUUAAGUUCGUCGUUAAAGGCUCCGGCCUAACCGGAGUAUUGCGAUGAAAACUGGUGAGCUAGAGGGUGAGAGAGAGAAGUGGAAUUCCCGGAGUAGCGGUAAAAUGCGUGGAUCUCGGGAGGAACACCAAUGGCGAAGGCAGCUUCUUGGCUCAUUCCUGACGUUGAGGCACGAAAGCGUGGGGAGCAAACAGG
RNAcentral lists this ribosomal RNA (429 nucleotides) under uncultured bacterium. Its description in RNAcentral is "bacterial SSU rRNA". It matches the Rfam family "Bacterial small subunit ribosomal RNA", at positions 355 to 776 of the family's 1533-position model. The record is from RNAcentral.